AUGGCUGGGCAUCAUUAUCACAAUUCCCAGAUGUCAAGAAUGGAUCGUACGAACCAGCCACGUAAUGAACCUCCGCCUUUUGGUCAAAAGUUAUUUGUGCAUCCUAGAGGUGAUGCACCUAAUGGAGCGGGACCAUCAGGUUAUGGGGUUACAACUGUGAGAUCUAAUGAACUUCCAUCCUCAAGCUACACUGGUCAGUCUUAUGGUCAGCAGAUUGGAGCCCCUGGAACCUUGCAUGCCUCCCAUGCUGGUUAUCCUCCUGCUGGAAGCUCUAGUAGCAGCUAUGCACCAUACAAUACUCAACAUGUGCCUUCUUUAAGCUAUCCACGUAGAUCCGAGGAUAGUUUUAUUCCUGGAGUCCAUGUGGAUGACAGAAGGGUUGCACCGAAGCGGAGAAAUCCCAUCACUCAUCCUGUGGAUGGUAUAAGUGCUGGAGGCUAUUAUCCUGGCAGUUCUUCCAAUAAUCAGAUCUCUGGUUACAUGCCCCUGAAUCCUGUUCCUACUCGUGAAACCUGCCCUCCACAAAUAAGUUCAAACAUGGGUUCCAGCCACUGGAACGAUCAUCAGUUUCUUAAUCAUGAAGGAUCUCAGAGGAAUGUGAGGGGACGCCAUGAUCAUAGUUCUAUCCAUUCGGAAUAUAAUUCGUCUACAGCUUGCCCAUCAAGCAGUGUUCAUGUGCCACCAUACCAUCCAAAUGCAAAUGCUCCUUUUGGUGCACCAGUACAGCGGGAAAGAGCUCCUUUAUCUCUACCUCCCAGAAUUGUUCCUCCAGGGACAGAUGGAAGCACUGGCAUAGCAUUCAGAGAGAGGCCAUUCUAUCCUGCUCCACAGAGCACCAACAUAAGUGCUCCUGUGCCACCACUUCCUGGUUCUUCUGACGGUGCACCAUUUGCUCGCAUUGGAUACACUCCUAGACCAGUUCAUCAUAACGCUGGCCACAAUUAUCCACCGCCAGCUUUUACAACUUCUUCCAACUCUGGAGCAGUUCGGUGUGAGCCUGCUAACCCUCGCUAUCAACCUGCCAUGCCCAGCUAUCCUCCUGCUACCGCUGCAGCAUCAUCAAGUGUCCAGCCAUUACAUGCCGAAGCUGCUGCAUCUUUUAGACAGCCAAGGCACGUCUCUGUGGGGCAUGGUGGUAGUGCAAGGAGUAGAAGGAUGAGGGAUUCCUAUCAUUGCUUUCAUCCUUUGAUGAUCGAGGAGAAUAACCUAGGAAGAUCGGCAGCUGAGCGUUUUAUGAUGCUGGACCAGUUGGUCAUCCACGAAUCUAGAGAAGCAUUAGAUCCUCACUGGGACAUGAGACUGGACAUUGAUGACAUGAGCUAUGAGGAGCUCCUGGCGUUGGAAGAACGAAUUGGCAAUGUAAACACUGGCCUGGCUGACGAAAAAAUCUCAGGCUGCGUGAUGGAGCUAGCCUGUCGUAAUUCUGCCCGUACACAGAAUGAUCAAGACAAGGAAAGGUGCAUAAUUUGCCUGGAGGAAUACAAGCACAAGGACUCCCUUGGGAAGCUGAAAUGUGGGCAUGACUUCCAUGCGGGCUGCAUCAAGAAGUGGCUGGAGGUGAAGAACGCCUGCCCGGUUUGUAAAGCCGACGCCGCAAAUGAAACCACCUGA
This 1611-nucleotide ribosomal RNA is filed under the name Triticum aestivum (bread wheat). RNAcentral's name for it is "partial small subunit ribosomal RNA". The record is from RNAcentral. Lineage: Eukaryota; Viridiplantae; Streptophyta; Magnoliopsida; Poales; Poaceae.